AUAGCAUAUUCCAAAUUUUGUGCC
RNAcentral lists this non-coding RNA (24 nucleotides) under Arabidopsis thaliana (thale cress). Lineage: Eukaryota; Viridiplantae; Streptophyta; Magnoliopsida; Brassicales; Brassicaceae. The record is from RNAcentral.